UUUCCGUAGGUGAACCUGCGGAAGGAUCAUUCAUAAUAAAGUGUUAUAUGGCACUUUUUAAAAAUCCAUAUCCACCUUGUGUGCAAUGUUAGAUCUCGUCAAUCUUGGCGAGAUUUUUAUACAUCAACUCAUUUUUUAACUAAUUUGUCUGAAAAUAUUAUGAAUACUUAAUUCAAAAUACAACUUUCAACAACGGAUCUCUUGGCUCUC
RNAcentral lists this unclassified non-coding RNA (210 nucleotides) under plant metagenome. RNAcentral describes it as "partial contains small subunit ribosomal RNA, internal transcribed spacer 1, and 5.8S ribosomal RNA". The record is from RNAcentral.